This 1842-nucleotide long non-coding RNA is filed under the name Homo sapiens (human). RNAcentral's name for it is "HSALNT0409344". Lineage: Eukaryota; Metazoa; Chordata; Mammalia; Primates; Hominidae. The record is from RNAcentral.
CUCUUCUCUUGUCUGCCAUCAUAUGAGCCAUGAUCCAUCAGGCCUCCCCAGCAACAUGGAACUGGUACAUGUGGAGGAUGUACAGGUUUGUUACAUCGGUAAAUGUGUGCCAUGGUGGUUUGCCGCACCUAUCAACCCAACACCUAGAAGGAAGACUUGGAUUCAGAGAAAGAGAAAAAGGAGAUGUGACAAGGAGAGUAGAAGUUGGCAUGGUGGAAGAAGGAAGAAGGCACCACAAGCCAAGGAAUACAGCAACCUCUAGAAGCUGGAAAAAGCAAGAAAAUAGAUUCAUUCGUGGAGCAUCCAGAAGAACCAUUCUUGCAGAGACCCUUAUUUUAGCCCAUUGAAACUUAGUUGAACUUCUGUUCAGGCCACUGAAAUGAUGCCCCUUCCUUGAUAAGGCACAAUACCUACACCAGCAGCCAGAGAUGUUAUGGUUUAAGGUCCUCAGCGGCCUGUGAGUGUCAAUGUUGGUAUUUUUGGCUGUACUUACAUCCAGCAGCUGCAACCCCCAGUCAUAGCAUAAGAUGACAAAAACUGCAAGGUCACAGGCGAAUGUAGCCAGAAAUUUGUGCAGCCUCCAUAGGGCUACAUAAGCAACCCUGAUAUUGCAUAACAGCUCAGAGUUCAUUGUUUCUCAGCCCAUCCUUCUCAGGGUCUCCUAGAUGAUGACUUUGAAGCCUUUGAAGAGUAAGUCAUGCAUGUCCCUUCCCACUGGGUUAGGAACCUGCUGCAAUGUCUACAGGGGGCUUGGGGAGAAAUAAGGACUUCUAUCUAUCAUUGCUACAGUUACACUAGAAAGAGCUCGUCACAUGAGCCAAGCAGGUUUCCUCUCCUCCUGCACUUGGGCCUAUGCCACUGGGUGGAAUGAAAAGAAGCUCAAAGUUGCCUUCUCUUAAUAUCCUCCUCUGACUUAAUGAUUCCCAAGUGGAUGUGGAAGAUGCUGAUAGGACACACACCUUUUGUAUGGAGGGAGGGAAAAAAUUAAGGGAAGGGGAGAGAGAAGAAUGGAGGAAGAGAGAGGGAGACAAGGAAAGGAAGGAAGAGAGAAGAAAGGAGAAAGACAGAGGGAUGAAAGAAGAGAGAGGAAGGAAGGAAGAAGGGAAGGAAGGAAGAAAGGAAGGGAGGGAAGGAGAGAGAAAGGGAAGAAAAGGAAAGGAAAGGAGAAAGGAAAAAAUGAAAGGAGGGAGGAAGAGUGAGGCAGAGUCAGAAAGAGAGAAAAAGAGGAAGAAAGAGAGAGGAAAGGAGAGAAUAAGAAGGGGGGAAAUGGAAAAAUAUAAAAAGGACCAAACAAAGAAAGAGAGAGGGGAGGGAAGGGGAGAAAAAGAAGGAGGAGAAGGAGAGAGAAAGAAAGAAAAAUAGGAAGCAGAGGGGAGAAAGAGAAGUAAGGAAGAGAAAGAGAGGGAAAGACGGUGAGAGAGAAAGAGGAAGGAAUGGUAAAUAGAAAGGAGAAAUGGAGAAAGAGAGAAGAGAUAAGGGAGAGGGAGUGCAGACUGGGAGAGAGAGAUGAGAUAGUUAGAGAUAUACGAAUGGAGGAAGGAGAAAGACAGAGAGAUAGAAGGAGUAGGAGGAGGAGAAAGUAAAAGAGAGAAAGAGAAGAGGGUAAGGGAGAAAGAGAAAGAAGGACAGAGAGCCAUACAGAGAGGAACAAAUGGAUAAACAGAGGAAGGAAGGGAUGGAGAAAGAGAGGAGAAAAGGAAAGAGAGGGAAGGAAGGAAAGAGGGAGGGAGAAAGAGAGCAUGUGCUUAAAGAAAAGUUAUGGGGCUGGCUGUCAUUUCCUCCAGAGGCCAACAAAACUCUCCCUACUCUCUAAGCCCCAGUGAAUAUAUAUGAAAGAGCUAG